AUUACAGAGGAUAGUUCACUUUGAGGAUUGUUCAGAGUGGUUGACAGAUUGUAGAAGAGGGGAUAUCUUGCUGCAUUUCUUGCUGUUGGUAUUGCCUAUAUUUUGGUUAAGGGUUAGAGAGGAGAUUUAUAUUUUGACGUGGAGGUCUUCUAUAAAUUCCUUGUUGGCCGAACUAGUAUAAAAACCAGUGUUUGCUUUUCUCUUUCCCUACACUUUUACUUUACAGUCAACUUUACAUUUAACGCAAUCAACUACAUUUUCCGCUGCAUACGAAUUUUCAUUACUUGCAUUUCAAGAUUGUGAAAAGAUUUUGUUUUUGAUAAAACACCAAUUCACCCCUCA
This 342-nucleotide long non-coding RNA is filed under the name Vigna radiata. RNAcentral describes it as "long non-coding RNA (VRAD_LNC012822)". Lineage: Eukaryota; Viridiplantae; Streptophyta; Magnoliopsida; Fabales; Fabaceae. The record is from RNAcentral.